UAGGGAAUCUUCGGCAAUGGACGAAAGUCUGACCGAGCAACGCCGCGUGAGUGAAGAAGGUUUUCGGAUCGUAAAACUCUGUUGGUAGAGAAGAACGUUGGUGAGAGUGGAAAGCUCAUCAAGUGACGGUAACUACCCAGAAAGGGACGGCUAACUACGUGCCAGCAGCCGCGGUAAUACGUAGGGCCCGAGCGUUGUCCGGAUUUAUUGGGCGUAAAGCGAGCGCAGGUGGUUUAUUAAGUCUGGUGUAAAAGGCAGUGGCUCAACCAUUGUAUGCAUUGGAAACUUGUAGACUUGAGUGCAGGAGAGGAGAGUGGAAUUCCAUGUGUAGCGGUGAAAUGCGUAGAUAUAUGGAGGAACACCGGUGGCGAAAGCGGCUCUCUGGCCUGUAACUGACACUGAGGCUCGAAAGCGUGGGGAGCAAACA
Molecule: ribosomal RNA, 427 nt
Filed under: uncultured bacterium
Lineage: Bacteria
Description: partial 16S ribosomal RNA
Rfam family: Bacterial small subunit ribosomal RNA
Source: RNAcentral